CGUACCCACANUUACUUGGAUAACUGUGGUAAUUCUAGAGCUAAUACAUGCAAACAGAGCUCCGACCGGAGACGGGAGGAGUGCUUUUAUUAGAUCAAAACCAAUCGGCGGCGGGCGCGNUCGCGCGUCCGUUCGCCGCUCAACCUGGUGACUCUGAAUAACUUUCGGCUGAUCGCACGGUCUCGCACCGGCGACGCAUCUUUCAAAUGUCUGCCUUAUCAACUGUCGAUGGUAGGUUCUGCGCCUACCAUGGUCGUAACGGGUAACGGGGAAUCAGGGUUCGAUUCCGGAGAGGGAGCCUGAGAAACGGCUACCACAUCCAAGGAAGGCAGCAGGCGCGCAAAUUACCCACUCCCGGCACGGGGAGGUAGUGACGAAAAAUAACGAUACGGGACUCAUCCGAGGCCCCGUAAUCGGAAUGAGUACACUUUAAAUCCUUUAACGAGGAUCAUUGGAAGG
This 459-nucleotide ribosomal RNA is filed under the name Sanfilippodytes adelardi. Its description in RNAcentral is "SSU rRNA". It matches the Rfam family "Eukaryotic small subunit ribosomal RNA", at positions 125 to 555 of the family's 1831-position model. The record is from RNAcentral. Lineage: Eukaryota; Metazoa; Arthropoda; Insecta; Coleoptera; Dytiscidae.